RNAcentral lists this ribosomal RNA (301 nucleotides) under uncultured bacterium. RNAcentral describes it as "partial 16S ribosomal RNA". It matches the Rfam family "Bacterial small subunit ribosomal RNA", at positions 509 to 808 of the family's 1533-position model. The record is from RNAcentral.
CAGUCGCCGCGGGAAUACGUAGGUCCCGAGCGUUGUCCGGAUUUAUUGGGCGUAAAGCGAGCGCAGGCGGUUAGGUAAGUCUGAAGUUAAAGGCUGUGGCUUAACCAUAGUACGCUUUGGAAACUGUUUAACUUGAGUGCAAGAGGGGAGAGUGGAGUUCCAUGUGUAGCGGUGAAAUGCGUAGAUAUAUGGAGGAACACCGGUGGCGAAAGCGGCUCUCUGGCUUGUAACUGACGCUGAGGCUCGAAAGCGUGGGGAGCAAACAGGAUUAGAUACCCGUGUAGUCCCUGUCUCUUAUACA